CGCCUCUUGACUAGGUAUAAGAGGUAUAGCCUGCCCAGUGACUCUGUUCAACGGCCGCGGUAUCCUAACCGUGCGAAGGUAGCGUAAUCACUUGUUCUUUAAAUGAGGACUAGUAUGAAUGGCACCACGAGGGUUAUACUGUCUCCUUUUUCUAAUCAGUUAAACUAAUCUCCCCGUGAAGAAGUGGGGAUAAAACUAUAAGACGAGAAGACCCUAUGGAGCUUUAAACUAAAUUACACCUGCUUAUUAACAUUUCUCUUCCAGAAUAUUAACAUUUAUACUAGCUUCAUGAUUUUUAGUUUUAGGUUGGGGUGACCGCGGAGCAGAACAAAACCUCCACAUUGAAUGGGAUUACUUCCCUGAGCUUUGAGCCACAACUCCAUGCACCAAUAAAUUGACAUUAAUUGACCCAAUAUUUUGAUCAACGAACCAAGUUACCCUAGGGAUAACAGCGCAAUCCACUUUAAGAGCUCCUAUCGACAAGUGGGUUUACGACCUCGAUGUUGGAUCAGGGUAUCCCUGUGGUGCAGCCGCUACUAAAGGUUCGUUUGUUCAACGAUUAAAACCCU
Molecule: ribosomal RNA, 569 nt
Filed under: Acris crepitans (northern cricket frog)
Lineage: Eukaryota; Metazoa; Chordata; Amphibia; Anura; Hylidae
Description: partial 16S ribosomal RNA
Rfam family: Bacterial large subunit ribosomal RNA
Source: RNAcentral